UCCUACUUAUCAGUAUAAACAUGGAGGGCACAUGCAUGGUGCAGUUUCACAAAGAAGAGCAACCCCUUCCCCUUCCUCGUCCCCGUCCUUUUCCUCUUCCCCUGCCCUUUCAUGUUUCCCUCGACCACUACAUGCUGAUGGACAACAUGGACACAUUGGCCCUUCCUCCGACCCUCAAGAACAUAUUACGGGACAACUUGGACACAUACGAACUGAAUCUACUUCAGGUUCAUGUCCUUCAGUUCCAUCUCCUUUGGUUCCACCUUCUUCUUUAGUACAACACUCGAAUGAUGAGGGAAACACAGGUGAAGAAGAUAGCCGACUCAUGAUAUGCCCAUAUAAAAAUUCGUAAGUACUUCAUUUUUUUAAGUAUAUAUAAUAUUUAGGGUUUUAGAUAUGGAUGUCAACUGAAUUGUCCAUGUUGCAAAUUAUCCGUAUGCUUCAUUGUUUCAUUGUCCAUAUCGUUCUUUCUAACCUGUUUGCAGAUUCACGGAUACUACGUAUAUUGUGAGGUAACUUAAUAAAAUAGUCAAUGACUCUUGGAGGGGGUAGUAUAUUAGUUACGGUAGCGGCCCAAAAGAAGUAUAUGAUUUGUGGUGGAAUGAGUUCAAGGUAAGUUUUGUUCUUCUAGGUGUUUCUAGUGGUCGUGUUAGGGAUCGGAUCAUACCCUCUUAUUGGUACUUUUAAUUGUCAGAAGUGGGAAGUCCCACAUCAAGUAGUAAUGGAUAUGAACUUUAGAAAAUCCAUUGCCGAAUUGUCUGGUGCAUGGUAAUGGAUAUGUGACCCUCAUAAUAACUUUCAGUUGUUUUUCUAUUAACACAGCGGAAGUUUAGGUGGGAUGAAACCGAAGAGGAUGAAGUUAAAAGAAUUUUUAAGAAGAAAGCCGGUGAUCACGUAAGAAAUGUGAUGAAUAAAGCAAAGAUAAGUCAAGUAAAAGCUAGAUUUUAUUACGGGUGACAAUUGGAUGGAAAUUAAGAGAACUUGGGAAACUGAAAAGAAUAAGCAAAUGAAUGAAUAAAAUAAGAAGAAUCGAGCUUCAAGUUCUAGUGAAGGGUUUGCCACAUAUGCUGGGAGCUCUAUCAACAUCGGGGAGCAUUGAAAAAGAAUGAUAAAUGAAUCGGGGACAGAACCGACAUAUAUAGCUACAUUUGAACGCACAUUUCAAAAAAAAGAUAAGACAUGGACUGGCAAUCGAGUAAAAGUUAUUAAGGUAUGAAAAAUAUGAUGAACUUUGAAUGAGUACUGCUAGUGGUAGUGGUGGUGAUGGUGUUGCUGCGUUUGAGCCAUCAGUUGACAGUAUGACAUUAUGGGUGGAGACAUCGGGUGGAAUGAAAAGAAGAAAAAUUGUUGGGAUGGGAUCUUUGUCAAGGGUAUACACAAUGUAGGCUGCUGCAACUUUAUCCUCCAAUACGGCUGUUUCAAAGAGAACACGACUUGAGGAGCAAAUGACCCAAGAAUUGAGCCAACUGAAACAUUUACUUAUAGAGAAUGACGAAGAAAUAAGAGUGGUCAAACAACAAAUGCAAUUGAUCUUGCGACACCUCAAUCUCGAUCACGAUGAGGUUCCUCCUGUACCUCCGAUUAAUCUAAUAGGUGAUGGGCACAAUGAUGAGCAACAUGAUGAUGAUGACAUUGCUGAUGAUGAUGAUUUUGUCAGUCCUUGCUAGUUAAAAUUUCCAUUUUCAUAUCAUUAUAAUAUUUUUAAGCACUAAAUUUUGAGCACUAUGUAUUUCAUCAUCAUAUCAUUAUGUAUUUAAGCACUAAAUUUUGAUGUUAUUAGGUGCUUAAUCAAUGUUAAAUAUAAA
This is a long non-coding RNA of Syzygium oleosum, 1805 nucleotides long. RefSeq lists it as uncharacterized. The transcript has 4 exons. The record is from RefSeq and is a predicted model, not a curated record. NCBI's taxonomy places the organism in Eukaryota, Viridiplantae, Streptophyta, Magnoliopsida, Myrtales, Myrtaceae.